This is a long non-coding RNA of Malaclemys terrapin pileata, 1684 nucleotides long. RefSeq lists it as uncharacterized. NCBI's taxonomy places the organism in Eukaryota, Metazoa, Chordata, Testudines, Emydidae. The record is from RefSeq and is a predicted model, not a curated record. The transcript is spliced from 3 exons.
UUUGUCUGUGUGAGUUUCACUUUGGACCAGAGUGGGAAAGCUCCAGAAUUCAGCCUCUUAUUAAGUAUGUAUUCCAUGACAUCCCAGAAGGCAUUUUUAUGCAAAGUGUCCUAAUGCUGUCAUAUUGAACACUUAAAAGCCUGGCCUGAUCUCAUACUGCUGUAACUCCAUCUACUUCAUUAAAAUGGCUCCUGGUCUACAUUGUUGUGAGAGCAAAGCAAACCCACAGGAAUCAUGAAAUGAUAAAGGAGUUCUUUAUAAACUGGCACUGCAGAAGGAUGUGAUGACAUCAGUAAGCAGAAUGACAAAAUGAUUUUACUCCACUUCCUGUGUUAGAGAUACUAUCUAUAUAACCACAGUUGUUAUCCAGGUAUUGCAACCAUGGCCUUGGCUAAUAGCAGCAGAAAGUGAAUUAGAUUUGCAAAAAUGAUCAGCAUUUUUGGAGCAUAGCAGCAAUUUGGCAAGUAUUUCAAUUUUCUGUAAUUCUGAAAUUUCUUUAACACCUUUAAAUAUAGGUGAGGCAAAUUGCUGUGAUAACAGAGACAAACCAAACUACAUGCCACUUUGCAAAUUAAUAUUUACAUGUUGCAUUUUAAUUUUCUGAUUAUUACAACUGUCAAAUAACGCUGACAUUUUUCUGCAAGUAUUUGCUCAAAUAAAAUACUGAAUUAGCUCUGUUCUCCUGUAGCUUCUCGGUAAGGCUGUGUAUGUCUGUCAUAGCCACAAUCUCCAUGGAAAUGGUGACAGGGUUGGUUUGUUUGCUUGUUUGUUUGUUUCAGAAAAAGUCCUGGUCCUAGUCACCAGAGUAAGUUCACUACUGAGCAGACUUCCUAUAUGAUUAGUUAUAAAUCUGGUUUUCUACAUGUCUCGUGAAGAGGAUUAUGACACAUAUUGUUGAAGACUGCAAAAUAACUCAACUUUCUGAAGGUUUUCAUGCCUUGAACAUCGUUGUUAAGAACGCUGUGCUUGACUUGACCCUACAGCUCGGGGCUGACCAGAAUCCAACUACUCGUAACAGAACAGAGAUAUUCAUAGCAUUUUACUAAUACUGAGCUAAAUUCUUCCAUCUUUAGACUACUUCUUACACAAGUUCCACUGACUUCAGUGGGACUACUUACAUGAGUAAGAAUCUAGGAGAACCUGGUUCUUUAUUAUUAACAGUGCUAUUUUACUAUUGGCUAUCAAUCAGGUAUUAUGUCUCACAAGUUUGUACAGAAUCCACUUUUUCAUCAACUUACCGGUAAUUACAAUUCCAGCACUAAUGACAAUUACUGUAUUCAAAUGCUUUUUCAAAUUCAGGGCUUUUCCUGUAAUUCUUUCUUUUGAUAUCAUUUUCCCUAUCCUGGGAAAAGCAGUAUUUCUUAAUCUGUCAAAGGGCAGAAAAUCCAACACCGUCUAGUAAACAAACAUGCCCAUACUUGUCUUUCGGAAAGUACUGCAACAGCAUACAGAGCUCAAAUAUUUCAUUCAGCUGCCAUGCAGGUUGUAACAAUCACAGAUUUGCAACCAAUCUACUUACAGCACUAUCCGCCCCAACUGUAUUUAGAUUCUUUGCAUACUGCUUAGCAGCUGCACAUACAUUUUUAUUCUAGAAAGCUAGAAGAACAGUGCUAGAAAUGACUACCUGUCAUAACCUAGUAUGUUAGUAGGGUUACCAUAUUUCAGCAAGCAAAAAAGAGGACGG